CGGAGCAUGUGGUUUAGUUCGAAGCAACGCGAAGAACCUUACCAGGGCUUGACAUGCCGCUGACCGGUGCAGAGAUGCAUCUUUAUCCUUCGGGGUACAGCGGACACAGGUGGUGCAUGGUUGUCGUCAGCUCGUGUCGUGAGAUGUUGGGUUAAGUCCCGCAACGAGCGCAACCCUUGUCUUUAGUUGCCAUCAUUAAGUUGGGCACUCUAAAGAGACUGCCGAUGACAAAUCGGAGGAAGGUGGGGAUGACGUCAAAUCAUCAUGCCCUUUAUGUCCUGGGCUACACACGUGCUACAAUGGUCGGUACAACGAGAAGCAAGCCAGCGAUGGCAAGCAAAUCUCUAAAAGCCGAUCCCAGUUCGGAUUGCAGGCUGCAACUCGACUCCAUGAAGUUGGAAUCGCUAGUAAUCGCGGAUCAGCAUGCCGCGGCCGAAUACGUUCCCGGGCCUU
This 453-nucleotide ribosomal RNA is filed under the name uncultured Eubacteriales bacterium. RNAcentral's name for it is "bacterial SSU rRNA". It matches the Rfam family "Bacterial small subunit ribosomal RNA", at positions 933 to 1382 of the family's 1533-position model. Lineage: Bacteria; Bacillati; Bacillota; Clostridia; Eubacteriales. The record is from RNAcentral.